GACGAACGCUGGCGGCGUGCUUAACACAUGCAAGUCGAACGGAAAGGCCCUGCUUUUGUGGGGUGCUCGAGUGGCGAACGGGUGAGUAACACGUGAGUAACCUGCCCUUGACUUUGGGAUAACUUCAGGAAACUGGGGCUAAUACCGGAUAGGAGCUCCUGCUGCAUGGUGGUGGUUGGAAAGUUUCGGCGGUUGGGGAUGGACUCGCGGCUUAUCAGCUUGUUGGUGGGGUAGUGGCUUACCAAGGCUUUGACGGGUAGCCGGCCUGAGAGGGUGACCGGCCACAUUGGGACUGAGAUACGGCCCAGACUCCUACGGGAGGCAGCAGUGGGGAAUAUUGCACAAUGGGCGGAAGCCUGAUGAAGCAACGCCGCGUGCGGGAUGACGGCCUUCGGGUUGUAAACCGCUUUCGCCUGUGACGAAGCGUGAGUGACGGUAAUGGGUAAAGAAGCACCGGCUAACUACGUG
This 468-nucleotide ribosomal RNA is filed under the name uncultured bacterium. RNAcentral's name for it is "partial 16S ribosomal RNA". It matches the Rfam family "Bacterial small subunit ribosomal RNA", at positions 28 to 507 of the family's 1533-position model. The record is from RNAcentral.